AGUCUUCGGUAUCCGUGCUGAGAUUUCGUCAAACACCAUACCACGAGGGCUGAUGAGACUUCCAGGAUAAGUGAAUCG
Molecule: microRNA precursor, 78 nt
Filed under: Schistosoma mattheei
Lineage: Eukaryota; Metazoa; Platyhelminthes; Trematoda; Strigeidida; Schistosomatidae
Description: mir-3492 microRNA precursor family
Rfam family: mir-3492 microRNA precursor family
Source: Rfam by way of RNAcentral